UCACCCCCCUUGGCUGUCCCACCCCUCCCUAGACCCCUCAACAUUCAGGCUGGUAAAAUGAGGCUGCAGUGAAGAGUCCUGGGCUCUGAGGAUGGGAGGCUCAUUGUUGCUGGGAGCAGAAAAGCUGGCCCACUGUUGACACAUGGUCUCCAGCUCCUCUUCCACCCUCAAAGUUUAAUUCCUCUGAACCUGCUCCUUCCCCACCCUUCUAGGAGAGCAACCCUGAAUUGAUCACUGCCAUUUUGACAUUCUUCUUUUCUUUAUUUUUCUAAUGUGAGAUUCUGAAACCUCUUCUUACCACCCCACACAAUUGGGUUAGCCCCAGAUCCUGCCUUAGGGCACAAAGAUUUGCCUCUCAGAAUUCCUUCCUUGCCUUUUUUAAAGGCCUGACCAGGGUCUUUGUGGUUGGAAUGGGGGUGUGUUAGGAGUGGCGAUGGGAGGCUGGAGUGCGAAAGCUACAAGCAAGGGCAAUAAACUGGGGGCCCACUGGGGCAGAUGUCUUAAUGGAGAGAGCAGAGAUGAAGAGAAAAUCCCUCAGCAGGUUGAGAGUGACUUCUGCAGGCUCAGGGCACAAAGCGAGAUCUCUUUGCACAGAAUUUCGAUCAUCCUUGCUACUUAAGACCCCCAAAAUGGUGGAACCCAGGGGUACAGAGAGCUAAGGAAGGAAAACUCCAUACUUGAGAUGCCUUCUUGAGCCAGCAGUGGCAGUAGUGGUGGUGGAGGCAACAGUUAGAUGAACUGACUGGUCCUGACCACACAGUGUCAAAAUAGAGAAUGGAGAGCAGGUCUGCUGUUUACCAAAGAAGACCGAAACAUGGCCCACGUGUCCAAUCCUUGCUUGGAGGAGGAGCCGGGAGGAUACCCUUGAUGAACUGCUCUCAGAUUGUUGGUCUAUGAAGGAGGUUAAUACAUGUCAGUUUGACAUUGUAUCAUUGAAUCAGAAUUGAACAUCAGAAAGAGUAAAAUUCCCAGGCCUUUUUUACCCUAGCCUGGGUACAAGCUCAAGAUGAUGCAGAAGGAGGAGCAAAGCAUGGGAUCCAAGAAAGUUAAGUUCCAGCUCAGGUCGAAGAGAAUCAUGUCUGUGAUCUGUGUCUUUGGUUUCUUCAUCUACAGCUGUCAUCUUGUGGGCUGGAGCAUGGUGGCCAGGAAGUGUGCAAGGGGCUCUGGUGUCCAUGCAGCCCUCAUAGACCUGAGGAGACUACUCUUUUGAGCUUCUGACCACCCAUCAGCAUUGGAUUAGAGAUUCUGGACUAAAUGACUUUCUCCAGGAAUAGUUGCUGGUGGACAAAAC
This 1291-nucleotide long non-coding RNA is filed under the name Homo sapiens (human). RNAcentral's name for it is "HSALNT0295828". Lineage: Eukaryota; Metazoa; Chordata; Mammalia; Primates; Hominidae. The record is from RNAcentral.